RNAcentral lists this unclassified non-coding RNA (351 nucleotides) under fungal sp. RNAcentral describes it as "partial internal transcribed spacer region". The stretch from base 1 to 46 matches the Rfam family "Eukaryotic small subunit ribosomal RNA", at positions 1786 to 1831 of the family's 1831-position model. The record is from RNAcentral. Lineage: Eukaryota; Fungi.
AAGUCGUAACAAGGUCUCCGUAGGUGAACCUGCGGAGGGAUCCUCACAUAGCAAACGCUUUGUAUACCAAUACUCAAACUCAACGCGAACUGUAACGUCCCUAUCAGUGUCUAGCAAGGAUCGUGAGUGCUUGCACUUGCGUGAAUUCACUCUGAUAGACAAUACCACCCCUGAGUCCAUCCUCAUCAAAAAGAAAUUUUUGGUGGCGGGCUCGUCUUAUUCACCACUUUUAACCUAUAAUGAAUGAAUUGUCUUAUCACGAACUUCAUAUGAGGAAUCCGCUUCUGUGGCUUUCUUCUUUUGAAUUUACGAAAUAAUGAACAACUCUUAGUAAUGGAUAUCUUGGGUCAA